Molecule: long non-coding RNA, 3524 nt
Organism: Hevea brasiliensis (rubber tree)
Lineage: Eukaryota; Viridiplantae; Streptophyta; Magnoliopsida; Malpighiales; Euphorbiaceae
Exons: 4
Source: RefSeq, a predicted model, not a curated record
GAAGUAUAUGAUUGCAUUAUGUUCUAGUUGCAAUUGUAGUUUAUUGAUGGUGCUUUAUUAGAAGUGCAAGGUAAAGAAUCUAAAUCUUUAUCCAGUCAUUGCAGAGAUCCCGUUCCAUUACUCGUACCUUGGUCCUCUUUUUAGCAUUUUAACCCAUUACAUGCAGGAAACAGGAUAGGAGCUUGUGGAUACCUUGGAAAGGAGAAUGGUGAAUACUGUUUGCAUUCAGGAGACUAAAUGGGUAGGAGAGAAAAGUAAGAAAGUGGGUAAUUAAAGGUACAAACUGUGGUUUACCGAAAAGGAGAGAAGGAAGAACGGAGUGGGCAUAAUCAUAGAAAGGACAUUGAAAGACGCAGUAAUAGCUGUGAAAAGAGUAGGAGAUAGUAUGAUACUAGUAAAGCUAGUACUAGAAGAAGAAAUAAUAAAUGUAGUUAGUGCUUAUGCCCCACAAAUAGGACUAGACAGUGAGAGUAAAAAAAAGUUUUGGGAAGAUAUGUUUGAUUUAAUGCAAAGCAUACCGAAUGAAGAGAAUGUUUUCAUUGGUGGAGAUUUGAAUGGACAUGUAGGAAGUGAUAGACAAGGUUAUGAGAAUAUUCAUGGAGGUUUUGGUUUUGGCAGUAGAAAUGAGGAGGGAAAAAGCAUCCUGAAUUUUGCUAUGGCAUACGACCUAGUACUAGUAAAUACCUACUUUAUAAAAAGAGUCACAUUUAGUGACUUUCAAAAGUGGGUAACAUAAAAGUCAAAUCGACUUCCUCUUAACCAGGAAGACAAAUAGAGCUUUAUGCAAGGAUUACAAGGUCAUUCCAGGAGAGGCUUUAACAAGUCAACAUCGGUUGGUGGUCUUGGAUGUCAAGUUUAGGAACAAUUCAAGUAAAAUCAAAAGAAAUAGUGUAGCUCAAACAAAGUGGUGGGAGUUCAAAGGAGUAAAGCAAGUGAAGUUCAAAAAUGAGCUUCUCGAGUCCGAAGUAUGGAAGCUGGAUAUGGAGGCCAAUUAAAAGGGGGUACAGAUGGCAUCAAAGAUUAGAGAAGUAGCUAAAAAAGUACUUGGAGAGUCUAAAGGACAUGGACCACCCUCAAAAGAGAGAUGGUAGUAGAAUGAGGAAGUACAAAAGGCAAUGAAGAGAAAAAGGAAAUGGUAUAAGAAAUUACCUAAAUGUGAUAAUAAUGAGGCAUAUGAAAAGUACAAGAUAGCAAAGAAAGAGGCAAAAAAGGUAGCUAGUCAAGCAAGAGCACAGGCAUUUAAAAAAUUAUAUGAGAAACUUGGAACUAAAGAAGGAGAGAAAGAUAUUUAUAGAUUAGCAAGGAGGAGAGAAAGAAAAUGUCAAGAUCUCAAUCAAGAUAGGUACUUUAAGGAUAAAGAAGGAAAAGUGUUGGUGAAAGAUGAGGACAUUAAAGAAAGAUGGAGAAAUUAUUUUAAUGAUCUCUUUAAUAAUAGUCAAAAUGGUAAUAGCGUGAAUAUAGACUUUAGAACAAUAGAAAAGAAUGUGAAUUAUACUAGAAGGAUUAGAUCUUUAGAAGUAAAGAAAGCACUUAAGAUAAUGAAAGUGGGUAAAGCCUGUGGACCCGAUGAAAUACCAAUUAAAGUAUGGAAGUGUUUGGGAGAUAUGAGAGUGGCAUGGUUAACUAAAUUAUUUAAUAAGAUUCUAAACUCAAAGAAAAUGCCUGAUGAAUGGAGGAGUAUUUUAGUACCUAUUUUUAAAAAUAAGGGAGACAUACAGAGUUGCUCAAACUAUAGGGAAAUUAAACUGAGCCAUCCUAUGAAGUUGUGAGAGAAAGUUGUGGAGUAUCGACUAUGUCAUGAUACUUCUAUCUCUCUCAAUCAAUUUGGUUUCAUGCCUGGUCGUUCAACUAUGGAAGUGAUCUUUCUCAUUAGAAACUUAAUGGAGAAAUAUAGAGAUGUGAAAAAAGAUCUACAUAUGGUUUUUAUUGAUUUAGAGAAGGCUUAUGAUAGUGUUCCAAGAGAUGUCUUAUGGAAUGUGUUAAAACAAAAGAUGGUAUCUAUUAGGUACAUACAAGUGUUGAAAGAUAUGUAUGAAAGAACAAUUACUAUUGUGCGUACAGUGGGAGGGGACACAAGAGAUUUUCCGAUCUCAAUUGGAAUACACCAAGGAUCAGCCAUAAGCCCUUACCUUUUUACAUUAGUUUUAGAUGAAUUGACGAAACAUAUACAAGAGAGUAUUCCUUAGUGCAUGAUGUUUGCGGAUGAUAUUGUUCUGAUAGAUGAGACACAAGAAGGAGUCAAUAGAAAGUUAGAGUUUUGGAGAAGUACUCUAGGGUUUUAAGUUAAGUAGAAUGAAGACAGAAUACAUGCAUUGCAAGUUCAGUGAAGGCCAAACUGGUGAUAGGGAAGGAGUUAGUUUGAAUGGAGUGGUACUGUCCCAAAGUAAUCACUUUAAAUAUCUAGACUCAGUCCUUCAAGUAGAUGGGGGAUGUGAGGAGGAUGUUAGUCAUAGAAUUAAAGCCGGAUGGUUGAAGUGGAAAUGUGCCACGGGAGUUUUAUGUGAUCGCAAGAUUCCCAAUAAGUUGAAAGGAAAAUUUUACCGUACAGCCAUACGACCGGCUAUGUUAUAUGGUAGUGAGUGUUGAGUACUGAAAGAGUCGUAUGCGCCUAAGAUAAGAGUUGCAGAGAUGAGAAUGUUAAGGUGGAUGAGUGGCCAUACUAGACUAGAUAAAGUCUGUAAUGAGAGUAUUAGAGAAAAGGUAGGAGUGGUGCCAAUUGAAGAUGAGUUGAGAGAAGGGAGAUUGAGGUGAUUUUGUCAUGUGAAACGUAGACAUACGGAGGAUCCAGUUAGACAAGUAGAGCACGUUAGGUUGGAGAAUAGAAAGAAAAAAAGGGGUAGACCUAAAUUGGCUUGGAGGAGAGUAGUACAACAUGAUCUAGAAGCAUUACACAUUUUUGAGGAUUUAACCCAAAAUCGUUUAGAGUGGAGAAAGCGAAUCCAUAUAGUCGACUCCAAAUAUUUGGGAUAAAGGCUUAGUUGAGUUGAAUUGAGUUUAACCCAUUAUAUGCAGCCAUCUCUCUUCCACCCCAGUCUUUCUUCUCUCUCUCUCUCUCUCUCUCUCUCUCUCUCUCUCUCUCUCUCUCUCUCUCUCUGAGAGGCCUACAUAAUUAUUGAACAUGUCCCAUGUGUUUUUUGGGUGAUACCUGCUCCCACUACACUGAACGAUUGUGUGAGGGCUUGAAGCUUGUAAAUCAUGUUUACUUCUCACCUGAUGGGCAAUGGGUGGCUAGUGCCUCAUUUGAUAGGUCAGUCAUGUAAUGGUGUUACUGGAAAAUUCGUAAAUGCUUUUCGGAGACAUGUUGGGCCUGUUUAGCAAAUCAACUGGUCAGCUUACAAUAGGCUUGUUUCAAGUGGAAGCAAAGACUCCAUACUGAAGGAAUACUGUUUGGGAUAUAAGGACACAGAAGUUAAAACAAUACCUUCCAGGCCAUGCUGAUGAGCGCUUCCUGCCAAGACUUGUGUGCUGUUAGACUUGAUUGUAACUGAUAUUUGAGUUUUGAUUUUAUUGUGGAAAGGUAUAUG